CACAGGGUCUAAAUGGAUCAUUUU
This 24-nucleotide small nuclear RNA is filed under the name Arabidopsis thaliana (thale cress). RNAcentral's name for it is "snRNA_08103". The record is from RNAcentral. Lineage: Eukaryota; Viridiplantae; Streptophyta; Magnoliopsida; Brassicales; Brassicaceae.